CAAGAGGCUACCUUAAAAGCCCUUCUCUGAUAAUAAGCUUAAUGUCUACCUUAUAUGCCGUCCUAGUGUCUUCAUCCAGUAGCUGAUGGAAGCAGAUGCAGACUAAAUUCCCUUCCCCUAUAAUGAGACUGAUGAGUCCUUUUUAAGCCAUCUAGAGCCCUCAUCCAGUGGCUGACAGAAGCAGAGGCAGACAUCCACAGAUAUACACUGAACUGAACUCUGGAACCUAGUUGCAGAGAGGGAGGAAUGAAGAUCAAAGGGAUGGAAAAGUCACAACUGCAGCAGAGGCCAGAGCCAGAAGUUGAAAGUUGAAGAGAAAGCAUUAAGAGAACCAGAAGUUCUACAAACUUUUAAAGCCUGCUGAAGUGACAUACUUCCUUCUCCAUCAAGGCUCCACUUCCUAAAGGUUCCCUAACCUGUCUGAACAGUGCCACCAAUUGGGAACCACAUAUUUAAACAAAGCAACUGGAAGUGUAGUGAGGCUAUAAGUUCUCACAGCUUCCCCUUCCACCCAGUGAUGUCUUUCCUUCAGCAAGACAGCAC
This 543-nucleotide long non-coding RNA is filed under the name Cricetulus griseus (Chinese hamster). Its description in RNAcentral is "lncRNA (ENSCGRG00015038069.1)". Lineage: Eukaryota; Metazoa; Chordata; Mammalia; Rodentia; Cricetidae. The record is from RNAcentral.